This 2919-nucleotide ribosomal RNA is filed under the name Lentilactobacillus buchneri. RNAcentral describes it as "23S ribosomal RNA". It matches the Rfam family "Bacterial large subunit ribosomal RNA". Lineage: Bacteria; Bacillati; Bacillota; Bacilli; Lactobacillales; Lactobacillaceae. The record is from RNAcentral.
GGUUAAGUUAAAAAGGGCGCAUGGUGGAUGCCUUGGCACUAGAAGCCGAUGAAGGACGGGACUAACACCGAUAUGCUUCGGGGAGCUGUACGUAAGCUUUGAUCCGGAGAUUUCCGAAUGGGGAAACCCAGCAGUUUUAAUCGACUGUUACUAUAUAGUGAAUUCAUAGCUGUAUAGAGGUAGACGUGGGGAACUGAAACAUCUCAGUAUCCACAGGAGCAGAAAGAAAUUUUCGAUUCCCUCAGUAGCGGCGAGCGAACGGGGAACAGCCCAAACCAAUGAGCUUGCUCAUUGGGGUUGUAGGACUGAACAUUUGAGUUACCAAAGUUGUUGAUAAUCGAACAAUCUGGGAAGGUUGGCGAAACAGGGUGAUAGCCCCGUAGGUGAAAUCAAUGACCCUCAGUUCAGGAUCCUGAGUACGGCGACACACGUGAAACGUCGUCGGAAUCCGGGAGGACCAUCUCCCAAGGCUAAAUACUCUCUAGUGACCGAUAGUGAACCAGUACCGUGAGGGAAAGGUGAAAAGCACCCCGGAAGGGGAGUGAAAUAGUUCCUGAAACUAUGUGCCUACAAGCAGUUAGAGCCCGUUAAUGGGUGAUAGCGUGCCUCUUGUAGAAUGAACCGGCGAGUUACGGUAACAUGCCAGGUUAAGGUUUAAAAGCCGGAGCCGCAGCGAAAGCGAGUCUGAAAUGGGCGUUUUAGUAUGUUGCUGUAGACCCGAAACCAGGUGAUCUACCCAUGUCCAGGGUGAAGGUGCGGUAAAACGCACUGGAGGCCCGAACCCGUGUACGUUGAAAAGUGCUGGGAUGAGGUGUGGGUAGCGGUGAAAUUCCAAACGAACUUGGAGAUAGCUGGUUCUCUCCGAAAUAGCUUUAGGGCUAGCCUCGGACGUAGAAUCAUGGAGGUAGAGCCACUGUUUGGAUGAGGGGCCCGUCAUGGGUUACUAAGUUCAGAUAAACUCCGAAUACCAUUGAUUUUUAUCCGGGAGUCAGACGGUGAGUGAUAAGAUCCAUCGUCAAAAGGGGAACAGCCCAGACCACCAGUUAAGGUCCCUAAAUAUAUGCUAAGUGGAAAAGGAUGUGGAGUUGCAUAGACAACUAGGAUGUUGGCUCAGAAGCAGCCACCAUUUAAAGAGUGCGUAAUAGCUCACUAGUCGAGUGAUUCCGCGCCGAAAAUUUACCGGGGCUAAGCAUAUUACCGAGACUGUGGACUUGACCUUCGGUCAAGUGAUAGGAGAGCGUUCUAAGGGCAAUGAAGCCAGACCGUAAGGACUGGUGGAGCGCUUAGAAGUGAGAAUGCCGGUAUGAGUAGCGAAAGAUCAGUGAGAAUCUGAUCCACCGAAUGACUAAGGUUUCCUGGGGAAGGCUCGUCCUCCCAGGGUUAGUCGGGACCUAAGCCGAGGCCGCAAGGCGUAGGCGAUGGAUAACAGGUUGAGAUUCCUGUACUAGUUGAUGAUGUUUGAGCGAUGGAGGGACGCAGGAGGCUAAGUUGUGCAUCCAGUUGGAAAGGGAUGUUCAAGCCACGAGUCAGUCAAAGAGUCAAAUGCUUUUUGGCGGGUUGACAAGUGGUGAUGAGGACCGAAAUUUAAGUAGGGAAGCAACCAACGUCACACUGCCGAGAAAAGCUUCUAGUGAGUCAUCAACUACCCGUACCGCAAACCGACACAGGUAGUCGAGGAGAGAAUCCUCAGGUGAGCGAGUGAACUCUCGUUAAGGAACUCGGCAAAAUGACCCCGUAACUUCGGAGAAGGGGUGCUGUGCGCAAGCACAGCCGCAGUGAAAAGGCCCAGGCGACUGUUUAUCAAAAACACAGGUUUCUGCAAAAUCGUAAGAUGACGUAUAGGGGCUGACGCCUGCCCGGUGCUGGAAGGUUAAGUGGAUGAGUUAGCUUCGGCGAAGCCCAGAAAUGAAGCCCCAGUAAACGGCGGCCGUAACUAUAACGGUCCUAAGGUAGCGAAAUUCCUUGUCGGGUAAGUUCCGACCCGCACGAAAGGCGUAACGAUCUGGGCACUGUCUCAACGAGAGACUCGGUGAAAUUAAGAUACCUGUGAAGAAGCAGGUUACCCGCGACAGGACGGAAAGACCCCAUGGAGCUUUACUGUAGCUUGAUAUUGGGUGUUGACACAGCUUGUACAGGAUAGGUAGGAGCCAUUGAAGCCGGAACGCUAGUUUCGGCAGAGGCGUUGGUGGGAUACUACCCUCGCUGUGUGAACACUCUAACCCGCGCCACUCAGCGUGGCGGGAGACAGUGUCAGGUAGGCAGUUUGACUGGGGCGGUCGCCUCCCAAACAGUAACGGAGGCGCCCAAAGGUUCCCUCAGAAUGGUUGGAAAUCAUUCAACGAGUGUAAAGGCAGAAGGGAGCUUGACUGCGAGACAGACAGGUCGAGCAGGGACGAAAGUCGGGCUUAGUGAUCCGGUGGUACCGUAUGGAAGGGCCAUCGCUCAACGGAUAAAAGCUACCCUGGGAUAACAGGCUUAUCUCCCCCAAGAGUCCACAUCGACGGGGAGGUUUGGCACCUCGAUGUCGGCUCAUCGCAUCCUGGGGCUGUAGUCGGUCCCAAGGGUUGGGCUGUUCGCCCAUUAAAGCGGUACGCGAGCUGGGUUCAGAACGUCGUGAGACAGUUCGGUCCCUAUCCGUCGCGGGCGUAGGAAAUUUGAGAGGAGCUGUCCUUAGUACGAGAGGACCGGGAUGGACAUACCGCUGGUGUACCAGUUGCGCCGCCAGGCGCACCGCUGGGUAGCUACGUAUGGAUGAGAUAAACGCUGAAAGCAUCUAAGUGUGAAACUUACCUCAAGAUGAGAUUUCCCAUUCCUAUAUGGAAGUAAGACCCCUGAGAGAUGAUCAGGUAGAUAGGUUGGAAGUGGAAGUGCAGUGAUGUACGGAGCGGACCAAUACUAAUCGGUCGAGGACUUAACCAA